RNAcentral lists this ribosomal RNA (252 nucleotides) under uncultured bacterium. Its description in RNAcentral is "partial 16S ribosomal RNA". It matches the Rfam family "Bacterial small subunit ribosomal RNA", at positions 524 to 776 of the family's 1533-position model. The record is from RNAcentral.
UACGGAGGAUGCGAGCGUUAUCCGGAUUUAUUGGGUUUAAAGGGUGCGUAGGCGGGCUUUUAAGUCAGCGGUAAAAAUUCGGGGCUCAACCCCGUCCGGCCGUUGAAACUGGGGGUCUUGAGUGGGCGAGAAGAAGGCGGAAUGCGUGGCGUAGCGGUGAAAUGCAUAGAUAUCACGCAGAACCCCGAUUGCGAAGGCAGCCUUCCGGCGCCCUACUGACGCUGAGGCACGAAAGUGCGGGGAUCGAACAGG